AUGACAUUUCUCCAAGCAUGUUGUACUCUCCAUCGUCUUCAUAUUUUCGAAAUGUUUAGAGUAACUAGUCUAAUGUUGCCGACAAUUGCUCUUUGCAUCUUUCUUCUUGCACAUCAAGGCUUCGGAUCAAGGCUGAGGCCUACUAUCCAAGAGGUAAACGAUCCAUUAGUGAAAGGUUUGCCAUAUGCUCCAAUCAAACAAAAUCUGACAAGCUUGAAACCAAACUCCCACGGGACAGCACAUCCUCUGGAAGGACCAGGCCCAGAAGAAGUUACAUAUAUAAUUGCACACCAAACUUCUGUUGGGGGCCCUAAUGAUAAUUACUAUGGAUUACAAGCCAUCACGGACGUGUAUGGCCACGACCUCAAAACUGGCCAGUUGAGUGCUACGAUAAUUUGGGUUCAUCAUACUGGUGAUGGCUCAAAAUCAAGUUUGAAUACGAUUCAAGUUGGAUGGCAUAUUCACCCAGAACGCUAUGGCGACACUCGUACUCACUUGUUUGCCUAUUGGACGAGGGAUGGAUAUGAAACAACCGGGUGCUUCAACAGGGAUUGCCCUGGUUUCAUAACAGCAAAAGGUGCUACAGUGAGUCUAGGUGCAAUCAUAGAUCCAGUUUCCGAUCUCAAUGGUGGGAGCCUACAAAAUGUCACUCUAAAAUUGUUGAAGGAGAAGACAAGUGGAGAUUGGUGGGUGUACUACGGCUUCAAUAGUGUCCCUACUGCUGUGGGCUACUACCCAAGCUCAUUGUUCACAAACCUAGCAAAAAUUGCAAACACGGUCUCGUUUGGUGCCUAUGUGAGCGUUGACAGGGCGCAACCAACACCUCCGUUGGGCAGUGGUGCCUCACCAAAUGAUGGCCAAGGCCACGCUGCAUCCUUUAGCGACAUGCAAACUAUUGAUGUGGAUGGGACUGGCAAGCCUAUCAUGGAAGACUUGCCCAGCGUUGCCAAAUGUUACUCGAUUGCUCCUGUGUCUCAUGGAAAGUUCUUUUAUGGUGGACCGGGAGGAUGUGCGUAA
This 1017-nucleotide ribosomal RNA is filed under the name Triticum aestivum (bread wheat). RNAcentral describes it as "partial small subunit ribosomal RNA". The record is from RNAcentral. Lineage: Eukaryota; Viridiplantae; Streptophyta; Magnoliopsida; Poales; Poaceae.